This 391-nucleotide unclassified non-coding RNA is filed under the name soil metagenome. Its description in RNAcentral is "partial contains 5.8S ribosomal RNA, internal transcribed spacer 2, and large subunit ribosomal RNA". The stretch from base 1 to 122 matches the Rfam family "5.8S ribosomal RNA", at positions 35 to 154 of the family's 154-position model. The record is from RNAcentral.
GAUGAAGAACGCAGCGAAAUGCGAUACUUGGUGUGAAUUGCAGAAUCCCGUGAACCAUCGAGUCUUUGAACGCAAGUUGCGCCCGAAGCCAUUAGGCCGAGGGCACGCCUGCCUGGGCGUCACACGUCGUUGCCCCCCCAUCUACUCCUUCGGGAUUGCGGGGGGCGGAUGGUGGCCUCCCGUGCGCCUCGCCGCGCGGUUGGCAUAAAUGCCAAGUCCUCGGCGACGCACGCCACGACAAUCGGUGGUUGCGAAACCUCGGUUGCCCGUCGUGUGCGGUCGUCGCGCAUCGAGGGCUCGAAAAAAUUGCCGGGUUCCGGCUCGGCUUUCAACGCGACCCCAGGUCAGGCGGGGUUACCCGCUGAAUUUAAGCAUAUCAAUAAGCGGAGGA